RNAcentral lists this ribosomal RNA (497 nucleotides) under uncultured bacterium. RNAcentral describes it as "partial 16S ribosomal RNA". It matches the Rfam family "Bacterial small subunit ribosomal RNA", at positions 28 to 507 of the family's 1533-position model. The record is from RNAcentral.
GAUGAACGCUGGCGGCGUGCCUAAUACAUGCAAGUCGAGCGAACGGACGAGAAGCUUGCUUCUCUGAUGUUAGCGGCGGACGGGUGAGUAACACGUGGAUAACCUACCUAUAAGACUGGGAUAACUUCGGGAAACCGGAGCUAAUACCGGAUAAUAUUUUGAACCGCAUGGUUCAAAAGUGAAAGACGGUCUUGCUGUCACUUAUAGAUGGAUCCGCGCUGCAUUAGCUAGUUGGUAAGGUAACGGCUUACCAAGGCAACGAUGCAUAGCCGACCUGAGAGGGUGAUAGGCCACACUGGAACGGAGACACGGUCCAGACUCCUACGGGAGGCAGCAGUAGGGAAUCUGCCGCAAUGGGCGAAAGCCUGACGGAGCAACGCCGCGUGAGUGAUGAAGGUCUUCGGAUCGUAAAACUCUGUUAUUAGGGAAGAACAUAUGUGUAAGUAACUGUGCACAUCUUGACGGUACCUAAUCAGAAAGCCACGGCUAACUACGUG